UUUCCGUAGGUGAACCUGCGGAAGGAUCAUUACCACAUAUAUAUCCACAACCUUUUUGUGAACUAUAACUGUGUUCGCAGCGGUAGUUUAGUUCUCAUUUAGACAACAAGCUGUAAAAACCUUGAUGUUGAGACUAUUCUAUGAUUGGCGCUGCCUUUUAAAAACAAAACAACAAAACAACAAUUAUGAAAAUUUACAAAACCAAAACAAAAGAUAACUUCAAACAACGGAUAUCUUGGUUCUC
Molecule: unclassified non-coding RNA, 244 nt
Filed under: soil metagenome
Description: partial contains small subunit ribosomal RNA, internal transcribed spacer 1, and 5.8S ribosomal RNA
Source: RNAcentral